RNAcentral lists this ribosomal RNA (1358 nucleotides) under uncultured bacterium. Its description in RNAcentral is "bacterial SSU rRNA". It matches the Rfam family "Bacterial small subunit ribosomal RNA", at positions 8 to 1379 of the family's 1533-position model. The record is from RNAcentral.
AGAGUUUGAUCCUGGCUCAGGAUGAACGCUAGCGGCAGGCUUAACACAUGCAAGUCGAGGGGUAUAGGAAGCUUGCUUCCUAGAGACCGGCGCACGGGUGCGUAACGCGUAUGCAACCUACCUUUUACAGAGGGAUAGCCCAGAGAAAUUUGGAUUAAUACCUCAUAGUAUAUGUUUUUCGCAUGUUAGACAUAUUAAAGUAUCAACGGUAAAAGAUGGGCAUGCGUCCUAUUAGCUAGAUGGUAAGGUAACGGGCUUACCAUGGCAACGAUAGGUAGGGGUUCCUGAGAGGGGAGAUCCCCCCACACUGGUACUGAGACACGGACCAGACUCCUACGGGAGGCAGCAGUGAGGAAUAUUGGACAAUGGGCGCAAGCCUGAUCCAGCCAUGCCGCGUGCAGGAAGAAGCAUCUAUGGUGUGUAAACUGCUUUUGUACGGGAGGAAACACUCCCUCGUGAGGGAGCUUGACGGUACCGUAAGAAUAAGGAUCGGCUAACUCCGUGCCAGCAGCCGCGGUAAUACGGAGGAUCCAAGCGUUAUCCGGAAUCAUUGGGUUUAAAGGGUCCGUAGGCGGUUUAUUAAGUCAGUGGUGAAAUCUGGUCGCUCAACGAUCAAACGGCCAUUGAUACUGAUAGACUUGAAUUACUGGGAAGUAACUAGAAUAUGUAGUGUAGCGGUGAAAUGCUUAGAUAUUACAUGGAAUACCAAUUGCGAAGGCAGGUUACUACCAGUUGAUUGACGCUGAUGGACGAAAGCGUGGGGAGCGAACAGGAUUAGAUACCCUGGUAGUCCACGCCGUAAACGAUGGAUACUAGCUGUUGGGGGCAACUUCAGUGGCUAAGCGAAAGUGAUAAGUAUCCCACCUGGGGAGUACGUUCGCAAGAAUGAAACUCAAAGGAAUUGACGGGGGCCCGCACAAGCGGUGGAGCAUGUGGUUUAAUUCGAUGAUACGCGAGGAACCUUACCAAGGCUUAAAUGUAGAUUGACGUAUUUGGAAACAGAUAUUUCUUCGGACAAUUUACAAGGUGCUGCAUGGUUGUCGUCAGCUCGUGCCGUGAGGUGUCAGGUUAAGUCCUAUAACGAGCGCAACCCCUGUUGUUAGUUGCCAGCGAGUCAAGUCGGGAACUCUAACAAGACUGCCAGUGUAAACUGUGAGGAAGGUGGGGAUGACGUCAAAUCAUCACGGNCCUUACGCCUUGGGCUACACACGUGCUACAAUGGACGGACAGAGAGCANCCCUACGCGAGUAGGAGCGAAUCUAUAAACCGUUCUUNUUCGGAUCGNAGUCUGCGACUCGACUCCGGGANCUGGAAUCGCUAGUAUCGGAUNUCACCCUGAUCGGGGAUACGUUCCGGGC